AGAGUUUGAUCAUGGCUCAGGAUGAACGCUGGCGGCGUGCUUAACACAUGCAAGUCGAACGGGAAAUAUUUCAUUGAGACUUCGGUGGAUUUGAUCUAUUUCUAGUGGCGGACGGGUGAGUAACGCGUGGGUAACCUGCCUUAUACAGGGGGAUAACAGUCAGAAAUGGCUGCUAAUACCGCAUAAGCGCACAGAGCUGCAUGGCUCAGUGUGAAAAACUCCGGUGGUAUAAGAUCGG
RNAcentral lists this ribosomal RNA (238 nucleotides) under uncultured bacterium. RNAcentral describes it as "partial 16S ribosomal RNA". It matches the Rfam family "Bacterial small subunit ribosomal RNA", at positions 8 to 229 of the family's 1533-position model. The record is from RNAcentral.